This 253-nucleotide ribosomal RNA is filed under the name uncultured bacterium. RNAcentral's name for it is "partial 16S ribosomal RNA". It matches the Rfam family "Bacterial small subunit ribosomal RNA", at positions 524 to 776 of the family's 1533-position model. The record is from RNAcentral.
UACGGAGGAUGCAAGCGUUAUCCGGAAUGAUUGGGCGUAAAGCGUCCGCAGGUGGCUGUGUAAGUCUGCUGUCAAAGAGCAAAGCUCAACUUUGUAAAGGCAGUGGAAACUACACGGCUAGAGUGCGUUCGGGGCAGAGGGAAUUCCUGGUGUAGCGGUGAAAUGCGUAGAGAUCAGGAAGAACACCGGUGGCGAAGGCGCUCUGCUAGGCCGCAACUGACACUGAGGGACGAAAGCUAGGGGAGCGAAAGGG